UACGGAGGAUCCAAGCGUUAUCCGGAUUUAUUGGGUUUAAAGGGUGCGUAGGCGGAUUUGUAAGUCAGUGGUGAAAUCUUUGGGCUUAACCCAGAAACUGCCAUUGAUACUGCAGAUCUAGAGUACAGUUGCCGUUGGCGGAAUAUGACAUGUAGUGGUGAAAUACUUAGAUAUGUCAUAGAACACCGAUUGCGAAGGCAGCUAACGAAGCUGUAACUGACGCUGAGGCUCGAAAGUGCGGGGAUCAAACAGG
Molecule: ribosomal RNA, 253 nt
Filed under: uncultured bacterium
Lineage: Bacteria
Description: partial 16S ribosomal RNA
Rfam family: Bacterial small subunit ribosomal RNA
Source: RNAcentral